RNAcentral lists this ribosomal RNA (468 nucleotides) under uncultured bacterium. RNAcentral's name for it is "partial 16S ribosomal RNA". It matches the Rfam family "Bacterial small subunit ribosomal RNA", at positions 28 to 507 of the family's 1533-position model. The record is from RNAcentral.
GACGAACGCUGGCGGCGUGCUUAACACAUGCAAGUCGAACGGAAAGGCCCUGCUUUUGUGCGGUGCUCGAGUUGCGAACGGGUGAGUAACCCGUGAGUAACCUGCCCUUGACUUUGGGAUAACUUCAGGAAACUGGGGCUCAUACCGGAUAGGAGCUCCUGCUGCUUGGUGGGGGUUGGAUAGUUUCGGCGGUUGGGGAUGGACUCGCGGCUUAUCAGCUUGUUGGUGGGGUAGUGGCUUACCAAGGCUUUGACGGGUAGCCGGGCUGAGAGGGUGACCGGCCACAUUGGGACUGAGAUACGGCACAGACUCCUACGGGAGGCAGCAGUGGGGAAGAGUGCACAAUGGGCGGAAGCCUGAUGCAGCAAAGCAGCGUGCGGGAUGACGGGCUUCGGGUUGUAAACCGCUGUCGCCUGUGACGAAGCGUGAGUGACGGUAAUGGGUAAAGAAGCACCGGCUAACUACGUG